AGGUGGUCAUCAAUUCCGAUAAAAUACGUUUGCAGGAAUUGUGGAACAAUAUUGCAUAAGUUUGAAAAGGUUGGACAAGAUUUCUAUGGUGUGAGGACUCCCUCAGAGAUUAAAUCAAUAUUCGGAGGCAGAUGCCCUAGAUGUGGACAUGAGUUAGGUAUCCCGACUUUAAACGAUAUAAAGAUAAAUCUUAAAAAGAAGGCAACAAAAGUUAUGGUUUUAGAACAACUGAGAUAAGAGCUGGUCAAAAGUUAUUUCAGAUUUAGAAUACUUGACCCCC
Molecule: small RNA, 280 nt
Filed under: Saccharolobus islandicus REY15A
Lineage: Archaea; Thermoproteati; Thermoproteota; Thermoprotei; Sulfolobales; Sulfolobaceae
Description: Sulfolobus islandicus REY15A non-coding RNA
Source: RNAcentral